Molecule: long non-coding RNA, 994 nt
Filed under: Gossypium barbadense (sea-island cotton)
Lineage: Eukaryota; Viridiplantae; Streptophyta; Magnoliopsida; Malvales; Malvaceae
Description: long non-coding RNA (GBAR_LNC013500)
Source: RNAcentral
AUGAUUAUAACAUUAUACUCAAACACAUAUAAGCCAUUUUCGCAUGGCUAUCCAAAAUUAUACAAGUCCAAAGGGUCCACGACCCACAACAAACGGGUAGUCCUAUACAUGCCAUUUCGAAGUUCAACCAAAAUUGUACCAAAAAAGGGCUUUGAUAGUGUGGGCGACUUUGACUUCAAGAUCCCGAGUCCGAUAGCUGGAGAACCAAAUCUAUAAAACAGAGGAGCAAUGAAACGGAGUAAGCAAUUUAUGCUUAGUAAGUUUUGAGCAAGGAAUUCCAGCACAACAAAGUAUAGCAUUCAUAUAGCUAAACGGAUAAUUUCAUAUGCACAAAUUUUCGAUAUCAUACUUGCUUCACAUUACCAACCCUUAUGUACAUACACAAAAGAUCAACUUAGCCAAAGGCCGGUAGCUCGUUUAUCAACUGAGCAAAUACUUAUUUGUAAAGGCUCAACUAAAUUCAAGCACAUACGAAACAUACCUCAAUGUUGGGAUGUUUCUAGAGCAUUAACUGAAAUUUUUACAGCAAGAUCAUUCACUCCCAAAUCACGUACCUUCGGAAUUUAACCGGAUAUAGCUCCUCGUUCAAAUGCCUUCGGGACAUAGCCCGGUUAUAGUAACUCGCACAAAUGCCUUCGGGACUUAACCCGGAUUUAGUAACUCGCACAAAUGCCUUCGGGCUUAGCCCGGAAUUAGUAUCUCGCACAAAUGCCUUCGGAUCUUAGUCCGGAUAUGGUCACUUAGCACAAAGCCUUCGGGACUUAGCCCGGACAUCAUUCAAAUAACCAUGCACAUUUAACAAUAAAUCAUGGCACAUUCGUAUUUCGUUUUCGUUAGCAAAACUCAAACACAAAACAUUUAUCAUUCUUGCAAUUUCGGCUCAAUAGCCACACACAAAGAGCAUGAUUUUGUUUGCUUAAAACAUGAUCUAAUCAAAUCUUAAUUUAAGCUCUCUUACUCAAGAACUUACCUCGGGUGUUGUCGAACGAUUCCG